UAUGAGUGUGCCUAUUAUCAACNCCAAAAA
Molecule: non-coding RNA, 30 nt
Filed under: Rattus norvegicus (Norway rat)
Lineage: Eukaryota; Metazoa; Chordata; Mammalia; Rodentia; Muridae
Source: RNAcentral